AGAGUUUGAUCCUGGCUCAGGAUGAACGCUGGCGGCGUGCUUAACACAUGCAAGUCGAACGGAAAGCCCCUUCGGGGGAAUUCGAGUGGCGAACGGGUGAGUAACACGUGGGCAAUCUGCCCCUGUCACCGGGAUAACUCAGGGAAACUUGAGCUAAUACCGGAUACUCCGUAGAGAUCGCAUGGUCUCAUCGGGAAAGCUCCGACGGACAGGGAUGAGCCCGCGGCCCAUUAGCUUGUUGGUAGGGUAAUGGCCUACCAAGGCAACGAUGGGUAGCCGAGCUGAGAGGCUGAUCGGUCACACUGGGACUGAGACACGGCCCAGACUCCUACGGGAGGCAGCAGUGGGGAAUUUUGCGCAAUGGGCGAAAGCCUGACACAGCAACGCCGCGUGCGGGACGAAGGCCUUCGGGUUGUAAACCGCUUUCAGCAGGGAUGAAAUUGACAGUACCUGCAGAAGAAGCCCCGGCUAACUACGUGCCAGCAGCCGCGGUAAUACGUAGGGGGCAAGCGUUAUCCGGAUUUAUUGGGCGUAAAGCGCGCGUAGGCGGCUUGUUAAGCGAGAUGUGAAAACCGGGGGCUUAACCCGCGGCCUGCAUCUCGAACUGGCAGGCUUGAGUCUGGUAGAGGAAAGUGGAAUUCCCAGUGUAGCGGUGAAAUGCGCAGAUAUUGGGAGGAACACCAGUGGCGAAGGCGGCUUUCUGGGCCACGACUGACGCUGAGGCGCGAAAGCUAGGGGAGCGAACAGGAUUAGAUACCCUGGUAGUCCUAGCCGUAAACGAUGGGCACUAGGUGUGGGGGG
Molecule: ribosomal RNA, 801 nt
Filed under: uncultured Coriobacteriaceae bacterium
Lineage: Bacteria; Bacillati; Actinomycetota; Coriobacteriia; Coriobacteriales; Coriobacteriaceae
Description: bacterial SSU rRNA
Rfam family: Bacterial small subunit ribosomal RNA
Source: RNAcentral